Molecule: ribosomal RNA, 95 nt
Filed under: uncultured bacterium
Lineage: Bacteria
Description: partial 16S ribosomal RNA
Rfam family: Bacterial small subunit ribosomal RNA
Source: RNAcentral
CACCGCCCGUCACACCAUGGGAGUUUGUUGCACCAGAAGCAGGUAGCUUAACCGCAAGGAAGGCGCUUGCCACGGUGUGGCCGAUGACUGGGGUG